GGCGGCGUGCUUAACACAUGCAAGUUGAACGGAGACUUUUUCAGUGCAACCUUCGGGGAGCAGGAGAAAGUUUAGUGGCGGACGGGUGAGUAACGCGUGGGCAACCUGCCUCGCACCGUGGGAUAACAGGGGGAAGCUCCUGCUAAUACCGCAUAAAGUAUAUAGACGCAUGUCAAUAUACAAAAAGGGAUACCGGUGAGAGAUGGGCCCGCGUCCGAUUAGAUAGUUGGCAGGAUAGCAGCCUACCAAGUCAACGAUCGGUAGCCGGCUUGAGAGAGUGGACGGCCACACUGGGACUGAGACACGGCCCAGACUCCUACGGGAGGCAGCAGUGGGGAAUAUUGGACAAUGGGGGCAACCCUGAUCCAGCGACGCCGCGUGAGUGAAGAAGUAUCUCGGUACGUAAAGCUCUAUCAGCA
This 419-nucleotide ribosomal RNA is filed under the name Johnsonella ignava. RNAcentral's name for it is "bacterial SSU rRNA". It matches the Rfam family "Bacterial small subunit ribosomal RNA", at positions 38 to 441 of the family's 1533-position model. Lineage: Bacteria; Bacillati; Bacillota; Clostridia; Lachnospirales; Lachnospiraceae. The record is from RNAcentral.